GAUGAACGCUGGCGGCGUGCCUAAUACAUGCAAGUCGAGCGAACAGACGAGGAGCUUGCUCCUCUGACGUUAGCGGCGGACGGGUGAGUAACACGUGGAUAACCUACCUAUAAGACUGGGAUAACUUCGGGAAACCGGAGCUAAUACCGGAUAAUAUAUUGAACCGCAUGGUUCAAUAGUGAAGGACGGUUUUGCUGUCACUUAUAGAUGGAUCCGCGCCGCAUUAGCUAGUUGGUAAGGUAACGGCUUACCAAGGCAACGAUGCGUAGCCGACCUGAGAGGGUGAUCGGCCACGCUGGAACUGAGACACGGUCCAGACUCCUACGGGAGGCAGCAGUAGGGAAUCUUCCGCAAUGGGCGAAAGCUUGACGGAGCAACGCCGCGUGAGUGAUGAAGGUCUUCGGAUCGUAAAACUCUGUUAUUAGGGAAGAACAAAUGUGUAAGUAACUAUGCACGUCUUGACGGUACCUAAUCAGAAAGCCACGGCUAACUACGUG
RNAcentral lists this ribosomal RNA (497 nucleotides) under uncultured bacterium. Its description in RNAcentral is "partial 16S ribosomal RNA". It matches the Rfam family "Bacterial small subunit ribosomal RNA", at positions 28 to 507 of the family's 1533-position model. The record is from RNAcentral.